RNAcentral lists this ribosomal RNA (456 nucleotides) under uncultured bacterium. RNAcentral's name for it is "bacterial SSU rRNA". It matches the Rfam family "Bacterial small subunit ribosomal RNA", at positions 791 to 1243 of the family's 1533-position model. The record is from RNAcentral.
UAGUCCACGCCGUAAACGAUGAGAACUAGAUGUCGGGGGAGUUGUCCUUCGGUGUCGCAGCUAACGCAUUAAGUUCUCCGCCUGGGGAGUACGGUCGCAAGACUGAAACUCAAAGGAGUUGACGGGGACCCGCACAAGCGGUGGAGCAUGUGGUUUAAUUCGAUGCAACGCGAAGAACCUUACCUGCCCUUGACAUACUCGGAACUUUCCAGAGAUGGAUUGGUGCCUUCGGGAACCGAGAUACAGGUGCUGCAUGGCUGUCGUCAGCUCGUGUCGUGAGAUGUUGGGUUAAGUCCCGCAACGAGCGCAACCCUUGUCCUUAGUUGCCAUCAGGUAAUGCUGGGAACUCUAAGGAGACCGCCGGUGACAAACCGGGAGGAAGGUGGGGACGACGUCAAGUCAUCAUGGCCCUUAUGGGGCAGGGGCUACACACGUGCUACAAUGGGCGAGUACAGA